AUGGUCAUUGGCUCAUUGCCGUCGGUAUUGAUUCUGCCAGUAGCUACUGCUAGUGUUGAAAGAGUAUUCUCUUCAAUUAGCCAUGUGAAGAAUAAGCUAAGGAACAAAAUGGGUGAUGAAUAUUUGAACAAUUGUUUGGUUACAUUUGUUGAGAGAGAAUUUUUCAAUCAAGUGAAGGAUGAAGAUGUCAUCAAUCUCUUCCAAAAAGGCGACCGUAGAGUUAUAAUGUAA
This 231-nucleotide ribosomal RNA is filed under the name Triticum aestivum (bread wheat). RNAcentral describes it as "partial small subunit ribosomal RNA". Lineage: Eukaryota; Viridiplantae; Streptophyta; Magnoliopsida; Poales; Poaceae. The record is from RNAcentral.